ACUCGGGCACUGUGGUGUGAAGUUAGAGAUGACAACACACCGCCGCCCGCUCUCUCACAUCGAGCCCGUUAACAUUCAAACGUUUUAAAACUCGUUUUGGGGUCGUUACACGGACACUGCCACUGCCACUGGUGAAUAUGAUUGAAUGAGGUACUUGUGUUAUGUUCUGUAAACCACGGGGUUUGUCAUUGUUUUCAUUUUUGUGCGAUUGUGGCCUCGGUUUUACUUUGAAGGAGAGGCGCUGUACUUCCGGCACAACCGACCAUUGUGCGUGUGGCUUGACGCAGCUCUUGGGCCUGCUGUGUUUUCAACGGAGGGAGAGCCAAGAAGAAAAAUGGCGUCUGCAGGCGACCCAGAGCGGGACACCGGCCAUUCAGUUUGAGCUUUCCACCCUGGAAUCGAGACCGGGGCCUGGCGGAGACUUGGCGGAAACCGUCGCUGGAGCCAUUAGUUUUUUUCCACCCCCUUUUUCCCCUGUGUGCGCGGCUCACUCAGGCUCCGAGAUUGAAGCGGAACAGCAGAGACUCUCUCCUACGAUGAGGGGGAGAAGAGGAAGGCCGCCCAAACAAGCAGCCGCGAUGCGGGAGGGUUCACCCGGGCCAGUCCGCGGCUCUCGGGGCGGCAGGAGCAGAGGGAUGCGCGGACGGGGCAGGGGCAGAGGUCGGGCCAGGGGACGCGGAGCGAGCGGUGGCGUCUGCGGCACUGGCUUAGCGGAAGUGGAUGCAGAAAUCUCCGGCCGAGAGAACUUUCAUUCGUCCCGGGGCCGCAGGAAAGUUGGAGCCUCCAUCGCGGAGGCGGCCGCGGCAUCGCGGAGCAGAGGCGGCAGGGGGAGAGGCAGGGGGUCGAGAGGCGGCCGCGGCAACAGAGGCGGAGUGCGGCGGCCGCAGAACAAGGUGGUCUACGACGACAACAGCGACGAGGAGGACGACCAUUUCAGCUACAGGUCGGAGGAGGACGAGCUCCUCAACGACAACCCCUCGUCGGACCUCGAAGAGGAGGAGGAGGAGGAGGCCUUGGGAAACGAGUCCGACUAUCUGGAGGAGCUGCCGUGCGAGGAUGACGCCAGCUACUGCACGGAGAGCAGCUUCAGGAGCCACAGCACGCUCGGCAGCGCCCCAGGCCCGAGAAGGAGUCGGGCUUUGCAACCUCAGUCUCCCAUCCUGGAGGCAAAAGACAUUCCUCCCUUGGAGCUUCCCAAGUCGUCUGAGGACCUCCCGGUUCCUACCUCACAGCUCCUCAAUGUAUCUGCUGUCUACGAGGUCCUCCGCAACUUUGGCUCGGUGCUGCGGCUCUCUCCGUUCCGCUUUGAGGAUUUCUGUACAGCACUGGCCAGCCAGGAGCAGUGCACACUGCUGGCUGAGACCCACAUCUCCCUGCUCAAAGCUAUUCUCAGAGAGGAGGACACUUCCAACACCACAUUUGGCCCGGCAGACGUGAAGGACUCUGUUAACUCCACUCUGUAUUUUGUCGAUGGUAUGACCUGGCCAGAGGUGGUGCGGGCGUAUUGUGAGAGUGACCCGGAGUACAGGCAUAUUCUCCCUUUCCAAGAGUGUGAGGAUUACCCGUUUGAACCAUUGGACAGCAAAGUUAAAGUUCUUCAGUUUUUGGUGGACCAGUUCCUGGCAACCAAUAUUGCCCGGGAGGAACUAUUGUCAGAAGGGGUGGUCGCCUACGAUGACCACUGCAGGGUGUGCCAUCGCCUUGGUGACCUGCUGUGCUGUGAGACAUGUUCAGCCGUUUACCAUCUGGAGUGUGUGAAGCCACCAUUGCAGGAAGUGCCAGAGGACGAGUGGCAGUGCGAAGUGUGUGUAGCACACAAGGUACCUGGUGUUGCCGACUGCAUCCCAGAGGUUCAGAAGAGCAAGCCCUUCAUUCGGCAACUGCCAGUCGGCUAUGACCGACACCAACGCAAAUAUUGGUUCCUGAAUCGCCGUGUUGUUGUUGAAGAGGAUGGUGAGCAGGAGGACAAAGCCAUCUGGUACUACAGCAGCAAGGUCCAGCUGGCUGAGCUGAUAGAUUGCUUAGACAAGGAGUACUGGGAGGCCGACUUGAAUGCAGCCCUUGAGGAGAUAAGGGACGAGGUGCACACGCAUAUGGACAUCACUGAAGACCUGACCAAUAAGGCCCGUGGCAGCAACAAGUGUUUCCUCACUGCUGCCAGUGAGGAGAUCCUGGAGCGGUUGCGGGCGAAGAAGGAGGAGGAGCUGGAGGAGGUGAAAAGACGAGCUGCAGAGGAAGCCCAUAAAGCACGGAUGGAGAAGGAAGAUGGAGAUGUCAGGCUGAAAGAUGAGGGGCAUCAGGAUGGCAAGGAAAUGACAGAGGAGGAGGAGAUAAGUGAAGAGACCGCACAGGAGAAAAGGGAUGGUUUCAAAACUGGAGCCCCACCCACUGGCCAAGAAGGCAGUAGUGGCAGUAACUUCUCAGAUGGGCCGAUACGUCCUGUAACCUCUGCUCCUACACAAACCACCACCGUGGGGGCAUGUCUGGCUACUGAGGCUCCAAAGCCCCCGACCUCCACCGUAGAGGCUCGGAUAGAGGGCUGUUCCCAUAUGGAGGCCUCUAACAACACAGAAGAACCCCCAUCAUCAGAUUGUGUUAGUGGAGAUGGAAUCCCCAGCCUGACCCAGCCCCCCCAGACCAGUGAAGAGAACAGUAACGGCAGCAUGGGAGCUGGGGCUCUUCCCAGGGGUCCCGAACCCCCAGACUUGGCUGACAAGUCCUCCCAGUCGUCCCUGGCGAGCUUCGAUGACACAGGAGAUGGUAAAGACUCGGCCAACGGCGAGACAACGGGUCUCAGCAGUAAGAAGUCUUCAGCAACUCGCAUGGUGACCCGGCUGAGGAACCCGGACAGCAAGCUGAGUCAGCUGAAAAACCAACAGGUGGCUGCUGCUGUUCAUGAAGCCAACAAGGGCUUUAAAGAGGGCAAAGAGGUACUAGUAGUAAAUGCACAAGGUGACGUGACGCGUGUCAGCACGCGCAGCAGCAAAGACGUGGUGAUGAAGGGGUCCCUCAGUCAAUACUUCAAGCUUGGCCAGGAGGGCAAGUACCGCGUCUAUCAUAACCAGUACAGCUCCAACACUGUGGCCCUGAACAAGCACCAGCACAGAGAGGACCAUGACAAGAGGCGGCAUCUCUCGCACAAGUUCUGCAUGACACCUGCAGGGGAAUUCAAGUGGAACGGGUCCAUUCAUGGCUCGAAGGUUCUGACCAUCUCCACACUGAGACUCACCAUCAUCCAGCUGGAGAAUAAUGUUCCAGCACCAUUUAUGCAUCCCAACUGGGCCUCACACAGGACAAAUUGGAUCAAAGCAGUUCAGAUGUGCAGUAAGGCCAGAGAGUUUGCUCUGGCUCUGGCUAUCCUGGAAUGUGCCAUUAAACCUGUGGCCAUGCUGCCUGUUUGGAAGGACUCACUGGGCCAUACCAGGUUAAAUCGCAUGACAUCCAUGGAGCGAGAGGAGAAGGAGAAAGUCAAAAAAAGGGAGAAAAAGCUGGAGGAGGAAGAGACGAUGCUACAGGCCACUUGGGUCAAGUACACCUUCCCAAUUAAACAUCAGGUGUGGAAGCAGAAAGGAGAGGAGUAUCGUGUUACGGGCUAUGGGGGCUGGAGUUGGAUCAGUAAGACCUAUGUGCAGCGGUUUGUCCCCAGGCUCCCAGGCAACACCAAUGCCAACUACCGCAAAGAACUGGAAGAUGCGAAACUUGGCAAGAAAUGCUCCCUGUUGGACUUGAGUCGACGACCCAGUGUAGCCACCCCAGAAGCUCAGGGAGCUGCUGCUUCAGUCUGUGAAGCAAAAGAUCAAGGCUUAUGCAGCCUCUCCAAACCUGCAACCGAUCAUCUGCGGUCUGCUGAAGAGUUUGUGUCUAAUGAGAGGAUGAAAGAGGAAACAAAAGAAGAGGUGGAUAUAAAAGAAAAGAUGGAGGAAUCGCCUGUUGAUGAAUCACCUGCAAAAAUGGAGGUGGACCCCACAGAAUCAAGAUCGGAUGAAGAACAAAGCUCCAGUGUUCAGGAGGGUAAUGCUUCCAUGAAGGUCGAGCCAGCAGAUGACCCUCAACGACCCUUUUACUACGAUGUAGUGGAUGUCAGCAACGGAUUCCUCACCCGCGUAGCCUACAAGAAGAUAGUCAAGACCUCCAAGCUGGAUGGCUUGCUGGAGCGCAGAGUGAAGCAGCGCAUUAUUGAAGAGAAGCAGAGGCAGCAAGUGGCUGCCUCCAAACCCAAGACUCCUCCACCACUUUCAUCUACUUCAACCCCUGCUCUGAGCACUCCAGUCCGGCCACGGUCACCACUCAAGCCCAGUACUCUCGCUCAGACACAGCUCGCAUUGGGCAAUGCUGUGAAAGUGGAGGAGAAAUCUUCCACAAUUAAAACCCCUGGUGCAGGAGAAGUUAAAGGGGAGAGUCGAGCUGAACUCUCUAAAACUACACAGGAUAUUGUAACUCCCCUUCCUUCUCCUCAUCUGGACUCCACACCCAAACACAGUUGCAGUACAGGUACAAGUGGAGAUUUGGCUUCACCACGAAAUCAGACCACCUCCCUGCCCCAGGAACUGGUGGCAGACUCUGUGGAAAGGACUAUGGGGCCAAAAGAGACCACUGCAGACAUUUCAGGGCAAGAGGCUGUCAAACUGCCUGAAGUAGAGGAAAUAACAGCGCAGAGAACUCACAGCUCUUUGGAGCAACAAAAUGCCAUUGUAGCAUCAGAUGUUACCAAGGCUGCUCAUAUUGAAAAUACAGGAUCUGAGCUUCCCAAUUUAAAAUUGGACUCGGUAAGGACAUCUACAAGUGUACUUGACCCAAAAAGUGGUCAAAACACAAUGCCCUCUAAACCUGUCCAGCAAAACCUAGAAACUUUAAUCUCUGCACAUUCAGGCACUGAGGAAAAUGGCAUGGGCCCGGGAGAGAACCAAGAAAAUGUGCAAGAAAUUGGACAGCAUAGAACAAAAGGUAUUAGCACUCCAGAGCUAGUUUCUCCUGUCCCUCGGGUAAAUGGUAAUGAUGGCUUGGGGAGUGAAAGCAUGUUGACUAAGUCUGUAAUGAGUUCAAAUAAUGGUGUGCUCACCAACAGUCCCCAACCCAAGGUGAACAGCACUGGUAAAAUAGAAGACCAUGGCCUUGUUGUCUCGCUGAAGGACAACACGCAGCAAAAGCCUUUGGUGAAUGGAGAUUUGGCAAAUGAUUGCACAGAGAUUGGGGUAAAAGAUCCAGAUCUAGUAUCGAAGGUAGAGGUAGAGAGCAAGACAGCGAUAUCAGACCAGAACUACAAACCUCCAGUAAAGAUACCAAGGCUGGAAAACAACUUGGUUGCACUUGGAGCUAAUACUCAGAGCACUCUGCAGCACAAAAGCCCAUCGCCGUUUCAGACCGUGGAGACCAAAGCCAGUCCUGCAGUCAAGAUCAUCAGAAUGGCGCCAUCUCCUAUACCUUCAGCAGAGGAGUCCAGUCUGAGCGAUGAAUUUGCUGAGGAGAAUAGUAACAGUGGGCCGACGGAGCCACGGAAAUCUGUGGUCACCCAGGUAACCACAACUUCCACCACCACCACCACAACAGUAGUUUCCACAGAGAGGAGGAUAGCCAGCGCGCCAUCCAGUGGAUCUGGAGGGUUGGUGUCAACAACAGAAAGCAGCGCAGUGUCCGCUCUUACAACCCUGACCAAAACGACUGUGACCAAAAUCUGUUCCCCCGGGCUCGAUGGUCAGUCUGAAGAUGGCCAGGGUGAAAUGGUGACACAAGAACAGAGGACGAUGCUCUUGGCCUCUGUCAGUAAGUCAACAACUGACAGUAAUGGUAAAGUCUCGGUAGCAUCUCUCGCUGUGAGCCAAGAGGACUCUUUAUCAACAAAGGGCCGCGUCCGCCUCCUCAAAUUCUCCCGCACCAAGAAGACGCGCUCGGACACCGCUCUCCCUUCUUACCGCAAGUUUGUCACCAAGAGCAGCCGCAAGAGUAUCUUUGUUCUGCCACAUGACGACUUGAAGGUGUUAGGGAGGCGAGGCGGAUUCCGUGAGGUCCCUGUGUUUAGCUACAAUGCCAAGCCAGCCUCGGAUAUCUGGCCAUAUCCUUCACCCAGGCCUACGUUUGGCAUCACCUGGAGAUAUCGCCUGCAGACGGUGAAGUCUCUGGCCGGUGUGAGUCUGAUGCUGAGGCUGCUGUGGGCCUGUCUGAGAUGGGACGACAUGGCCGUCAAACCAUCCGCUGCCGUCGGCACCACACGCACAGCCCUAUCCCCACUCAUUGCUACAGAGACAUCAGAUACUGAAAUCACCACCACAGAGAUCAUCAAGCGCCGCGACGUGGGACCCUACGGCAUUCGCUCAGAGUACUGCAUCCGCAAAAUCAUAUGUCCCCUCGGAGUGCCUGAGACUCCGAAAGAAACCCACACCCCUCAGAGGAAAGGGUUGCGCUCCAGUGCCUUGCGCCCCAAGAAGCCUGAGCCUGCCAAGCAGACGGGCCCAGUGGUGAUUGAGACGUGGGUGGCUGAGGAGGAGCUGGACCUAUGGGAGAUCAGAGCCUUCUCAGAAAGGGUGGAGAAGGAGAAAGCUCAGGCAGCAGAGCAGGCCAAGAAACGUCUCGAGCAGAAACCUGGUUUGGGCACAGCUACUCCAACAGGGACUCCCGCAACAUCUGCCAUCACACCCAAAGUCAUUAUCGGUUCAUUGACAGGCCAGGGCACGCCCACCACCAAGGUGGUACUGUCCACCAAGAUGGGCACCCCCGUCACAUUCCAGCAGAACAAGAACUUCCAGCAGUCGUUUGCCACCUGGGUCAAGCAGGGUCAAAGCACACAAGGAGCCGGCACUGAGACCACCCUGGCCACAUCUGGUGGCCACACCUUCCAGAUUACGGGAACGUCGGUGGGUGGAAAGGUAUUGACCACGAAGCUGCCUCUGCCCGCCAACAGCAAGAUCGUCACAGUCAACGUGCCAACUUCACAAGGAGGUGUGGUUCAGCAGAAAGUGUUGGGUAUCAUCCCAUCCAGCACGGCGGGCGGCGCCCAGACCUACACCACAUUCCAACCACGCACUACCACGCUCAACAUCAGGCCCAACACCCCAGGCGCCCAGCAGCAGGUUCUGACAACGAGUACUCAGAUCCGUCCAGGAAUGACCGUGAUCCGAACCCCGAUCCAGCAGACAGGACCCAUGGGAAAGACGAUACUUCGAACACCUCUCGUGGUCCAGCAAGGUCAGGGUGGCCAGCAGGUAGUGACGCAGAUCAUUCGAGGGCAGGCAGUUUCCACUGCAAUAUCUGGUGCCAGCCCUGUUGCCACUGUUACCGGCCAGGGGGCAGCCAGCUCCGCUGGGCAGACUCCACCCGGCACCCCACGGGCACAAGGGCAAGGCCAGGUUAAACUGACCAUGGCACAGCUCACCCAGCUCACACAGAAGCAGCAGGCCGUGUCAGGUGUGGAUCGGCAGGCUGGUGUUGGUGGUACCCAACAGGCUCUGACGGUGAUGGUUCAGGGCCAGGGCCAGACCACCGGCCAGCUGCAGGUCAUACCACAUGGGGUCACCGUCAUCCCAGGACCUGGGCAGCAGCUCAUGCAGGCGUCAUUGCCCAACGGCCAGGUGCAGCGCUUCCUCUUCACCCCAUUGGCCUCAGCUGCCACACCCACGUCAAGCACAGCCAACGCAGGUCCCGGUCAGCCCAACUCCACCUGUACCAAAACCCCAGCCCAGCCUGCCCAGCAGGCAGCAGCCCCCAUUCAGGCAGGGGCGCCUCCACUGGCCACCACCAGCAGCCCCACCUCAGCCACCCCACAGGGCCAGCUGCCACCUCAGACGCAGGCCCACAUGCCCAUCCAGUCGCCCACCUCGCUGCAGGUUAAAGCACAGGGAGGAACAUCCCAGCUGCAGCUGCAGCAGACGCCUCAGCUCAUCAGCGUGUCUGGACUGCAGCAGCAGGUACAGGUGCUGGCCCAGCUGCAGGCCCAGCAGGGUGGAGGCUCUCUGCCACAGCACAUCAAACUGCAGCUUCCUAUCCAGAUACAACAAACUGGGACCACCUCAGCUCAGGGCGGACAGAUUGGGAACGUGGUGACCAUCCAGGCAGCUUCUGUCCAGGAGCAGCUGCAGAGGAUCCAGCAGCUCAGAGAGCAGCAGCAGCAGAAGAAGAGACAAGCCGCAGAAGCCAAGAGAGAGCAAGCCCUCAACUCGGCCAGCCAGAGCGACAUCAUUCAGAAACAGGUGGUGAUGAAACAAAACGCUGUGAUCGAGCAUCUGAAGCAGAAGAAGACCAUGACGCCAGCAGAGAGAGAAGAGAAUCAGAGGAUGAUCGUAUGCAACCAAGUGAUGAAGUACAUCCUGGACCGGAUAGACAAGGAUGACAGGCAGGCGGCCAAGAGGAGGAAAAAAGAGGAGGUGGUGGAGGCGAAAAAGAGGCUGGCCAAUGCCAGCAAGCUCUCCUCGCUCCUUUACCGGCACAAAGAGAGCCUCAAGAUGGAGAUCCUGAAGAAGCGAGCACUUCUUGACAAGGAGCUGCAGCUCGAGGCCCAGGAGGAGCUGAAGCGGGACCUGUUGCGGAUGCGGAGGGAGAAGGAGAGGGCUCAGGCUGCAGCCCACCAGGCAGCGCAGGCCGCAGCGCAGGCCGCCCACAACCAGCAGCAACACACUCUGGUACACGCGCACAGCGCUCAGCACCACCACACCACAGCCGUCACCCCCACGCACAAGAGGAAACGGGAGGAGGAGAGAGAGACCGCGACGUCCGCCAAGUCCAAGAAGAAGAAGAUGAUCUCGACGACGAGUACCAAGGACAGCAAGAAGGAAAUCAAGCUCUACUGCAUCUGCAAGACGCCCUAUGACGAGACCAAGUUUUACAUAGGCUGCGACCUUUGUACCAACUGGUACCACGGCGACUGUGUGGGCAUCACAGAGAAGGAGGCCAAGAAAAUGGACGACUACAUAUGCUUAGAGUGUAAACGGGGCCAGGAGAGCAGCACGGAGGAGUUGUACUGCAUCUGCCAGACGCCGUACGACGAGUCCCAGUUCUACAUCGGCUGUGAUCGGUGUCAGAACUGGUACCACGGUCGCUGUGUGGGCAUCCUGCAGAGCGAGGCCAAUCACAUCGACCAGUACGUGUGCCCGCAGUGUCAGUCGACCGAGGACGCCAUGACGGUCUUCACGCCGCUCACCGACAAGGACUACGAGGGUCUACGGAGAACCCUGCGUUCUUUACAGGCGCAUAAAAUGGCGUGGCCGUUCCUGGAGCCAGUGGACACGAAUGACGCCCCAGACUACUACAGGGUCAUUAAGGAACCGAUGGACCUUUCCACCAUGGAGGAGAGGCUACAGAAGCGCGAGUACGUGAAGCUCACCGAGUUUGUAGCAGACAUGACCAAAAUCUUCGAUAACUGCCGCUACUACAACCCCAGUGACUCGCCCUUCUACCAGUGUGCCGAGGUUCUGGAGAACUUCUUUGUCCAGAAGCUCAAAGGCUUUAAAGCCAGCAGAUUGUGAUGUCAAACUCCUGGGUGCCGGGGUCACUCUUAAAACAAACAAAAACAAUUUGCUCUCCUGGGUUAUUGCUGUUUUACAACAGCAUUCAAAACUUUGUCUCAUAACAACAAGCUACAGUCAGCAGCCUCUUAGCUCCCUCCUAACAAAAAAAACAAAACAAGUGUCAAAAAGACGAGGAGUGUGGUUUUCCUCUGAACGAUUACGCCCUGUGGUCCCGGUCAGGCUGCACCCGAACCUGAGCCCGCUGUCGAGGAGAGCGCACUGCCCGCCGCAAAUCAGCGUGCAGUGGCGUCAAAGAGCCCGGCCUCGCCUCCCAACACCUGUACUGCCGUGCGAAGGGGGAAAGAAGUGAAUUCAAAAGCCCCUUUUUCAUCUUAAACAUCAGUGGGACAAAGAGAAAGAAGUCCCACCUUCAGACCGGGGACGGGGGCGUCCACAGACACUUGUUUGGCCGCCUGUCUCCUCCCAGCCAGCCGCUCCUACCAGUGCAGCCUGCUCCAUGAGAAGACAGAUCCGGAUGUUGGAGGCACGAUGGCAGAUGGAACUGACGAGUGGUCUGGUGGGAUGUGCAGUGGCAGUCCGAUCUCAUGGCAACAGCACACACUCUUGAAGAGCCCUGUUCUUUCUGUAGCUGAUCACUAUUUUUGUGUGUCCUAUAUAGCAAAGUGUUUCGCUUUGUUCCUCCCGCCCAGAGGUUCAACUUUCAUUUAAUCCUGUCACGUUUCCAUACAGAUACAGACAUCCAGCAUUCAGGCUUCGUCCCCUGCUCCAAGUGGGCACAGUCAACAAGUCCAGAGAUGUCCCGGUCGCGCUUCACAUGAGGCCUGAUAUGCAGGAUCUGCAGGCUUCACAUCCACGGACGGUACCGAGCAGUUCAUACCUGAGAGCAGCUUUUUAUUUUUGUAUGAGCAUUCUUUCUCCAUCAACAAACUGACCCCAGUGAAACCAGUCCCUCAGGUUCGUCUCCCUGCUCGCAGCGUGAACCAGGCACAUAGGAUCUGAAUAUGUCUGUCAAUGGUGCAUUUCAUUUACAUUCCCUAAUCACAGUGGCCCGGCGCUUGGAUUUGUCAUGGACGCUAGAUGGAAAACUAUUAUUGUCAAGAGAUGACUCUUUGUGUCAGAUGAACCUCUCAGUGCGUGGGUGUAGGCAGCGCUCACUCAAAAUUAAUUCAAGGGACUUUUUUUUUGUCUUAGGGGCUGUGCCGCCUUCACCUUAAUUUCCAGAGGGAAACGCCCGGAUCAUGCCCCUCACACACCCACUGCACCCCGCCCUUCUCUUGACCUUUUCCCAUUCUGUGCUUUUCUGAAACUGCAAGUGAAGAACGUUGACGGCUCCUUUGAACUUGACCUUGUCGAAGGUCAAGCAGUAAGGAGAAGAGGGCGUCGAACAAAGGGGAAACUAACACACACACACACACACACACACACACACACACACAGCGUCUCCCUGAAAGCUCCGUGUCAGUUUCUGUCAGUGGCUGAGUCUGUAAGUCUCCCUCCUCUUAUCUAUCAGCCGCUUCUUCCAGCAUAUUUCAUUGACGUUGACAGGUUGGCUCACAUGUGUCUCUCAACUCGCCCUCAAAGCGUGGUUAAGUAAUUGGAUAAUGGACUUUUCCACUCAGCAUCAACUCAGUUAUGUUGCGGUCCGUGGCAGCAUGUCUGGGAGUCAACUCUGAGUGGGGACUGUGGAGUCUUUGUACCGUGGGGUUUGUAUGAAAAAUUUUAUAGCUAAAUUUUUUGCAUAUUUGGGAACAUUUUUUGUAACGUGUGAUUAUACUUUUUAUAGGAGGGGGAGCCGUCAUGAGACAGUUACAUUUGUCUCCAAGCGGAUGUUGAAAAACAAUUUUUCAAAUUAGAAAUCAGUCUGAAUCAGAAAGUUUUUUUAAUUUGUCUCUAGUGUGUACAAGGGUUGAGAGAUGAUGUAGCUUCUGUCUCCGUUUCUGUUUCUCUUUCACACAAACGUCCGACACUUUGUAAUCUGACGAUGAUGUUUCAUCCACUGUUUGUAAUCUUUAUUGUAUAUUAUUGCUGUCCAAAUAUGUAGAGAUUAAAGAUUUUUAGAGCACUAGAAACUUAAAUUUUUCACUUUUUGAAACAAGCAACUAAGCCCGCCAGUAUAUUUUAACUUUUUUUUUCUCUUAAUUGAAGUGAACUCUACAUUUAGGUGAAAUUGCCCUUUAUAUUAAAAGUGCUGCAUAUUGUGAGCAAACAGUUUUUGAAUUGGUUAGAGUGACACAGUGACUUAACUUGUAAAGAGCUUUACUUUCUUUUGUAAGAAACCAACCAAUCAAGCAUAACUUCUACAUUGACGUUGCAUUUCUUGUAUUAUUUAUUCAUAUCAAUGAAAGGUUCUCAAGUUUUGUUUACUUUUUUCUGGGGGUGGGGGAGGGGGGGGGGGGUAAUGUUGAAGCAACAAAACUGCAGAUUAAAAGUUCUCUAUGUUUUUAACAGAUUAUGGCAACUCUGAAGAGAUUCUCUUUUGUACUUGAUAGGACAUUUCAUCCUAGAUAAAGUAAUGUUUUGACACCA
RNA transcript from Scophthalmus maximus (turbot), 11981 nucleotides. It is a transcript of the gene named nucleosome-remodeling factor subunit BPTF-like, with no coding region annotated. The record is from RefSeq and is a predicted model, not a curated record. The transcript is spliced from 37 exons. Lineage: Eukaryota; Metazoa; Chordata; Actinopteri; Pleuronectiformes; Scophthalmidae.